GUGUCAGCAGCCGCGGUAAUACCGGCAGCUCGAGUGAUGACCGAUUUUAUUGGGCCUAAAGCGUCCGUAGCUGGCCGCGCAAGUCUGUCGGGAAAUCCACCCGCUUAACGGGUGGGCGUCCGGCGGAAACUGUGCGGCUUGGGACAGGAAGGCUCGAGGGGUACGUUCGGGGUAGGAGUGAAAUCCCGUAGUCCUGAACGGACCACCGAUGGCGAAAGCACCUCGAGAGGACUGAUCCGACAGUGAGGGACGAAAGCUGGGGUCUCGAACCGGAUUAGAAACCCUCGUAGUCC
RNAcentral lists this ribosomal RNA (293 nucleotides) under uncultured prokaryote. RNAcentral's name for it is "partial 16S ribosomal RNA". It matches the Rfam family "Archaeal small subunit ribosomal RNA", at positions 455 to 747 of the family's 1478-position model. The record is from RNAcentral.